UUUAAUGAGAGUUUGAUCCUGGCUCAGGACGAACGCUGGCGGCGUGCCUAAUACAUGCAAGUAGAACGCUGAGGUUUGGUGUUUACACUAGACUGAUGAGUUGCGAACGGGUGAGUAACGCGUAGGUAACCUGCCUCAUAGCGGGGGAUAACUAUUGGAAACGAUAGCUAAUACCGCAUAAGAG
Molecule: ribosomal RNA, 184 nt
Filed under: Streptococcus agalactiae
Lineage: Bacteria; Bacillati; Bacillota; Bacilli; Lactobacillales; Streptococcaceae
Description: partial 16S ribosomal RNA
Rfam family: Bacterial small subunit ribosomal RNA
Source: RNAcentral